AACAAUUGCCAGAGUUGUCUAUGAGCAAAUAUCUUCUCAAUUUGAAGGUAGCAGCUUUCUUGCAAAUGUUAGAGAAGUUCAGGAGAAACAUGGUUUAGUUCCUUUACAAAAACAGCUUCUUACUGAAAUUUUAAUGGAUUGGAACAUAGCUAUUUGGGAUGCUCAUAGUGGAGUUGAUGAGAUCAGAAAUAGGUUACGUCGGAAAAAAGUUCUUAUAAUUCUAGAUGAUGUCAAUCGAUUGGAC
RNAcentral lists this unclassified non-coding RNA (244 nucleotides) under Hevea brasiliensis (rubber tree). Lineage: Eukaryota; Viridiplantae; Streptophyta; Magnoliopsida; Malpighiales; Euphorbiaceae. The record is from RNAcentral.